Molecule: ribosomal RNA, 389 nt
Filed under: uncultured bacterium
Lineage: Bacteria
Description: partial 16S ribosomal RNA
Rfam family: Bacterial small subunit ribosomal RNA
Source: RNAcentral
CCUACGGGUGGCAGCAGUGAGGAAUAUUGGUCAAUGGACGCAAGUCUGAACCAGCCAUGCCGCGUGCAGGAAGACGGCUCUCUGAGUUGUAAACUGCUUUUGUUCGGGGGUAAACGCAGGUACGCGUAUCUGUUUGAAAGUAUCGUACGAAUAAGGAUCGGCUAAUUCCGUGCCAGCAGCCGCGGUAAUACGGAGGAUUCAAGCGUUAUCCGGAUUUAUUGGGUUUAAAGGGUGCGUAGGCGGUCGGUUAAGUAAGAGGUGAAAUCCCGAGGCUCAACUGCGGGAUUGCCUCUGAUACUGUUCGGCUAGAGAGUAGAUGCGGAAGGUGGAAUGUAUGGUGUAGCGGUGAAAUGCUUAGAGAUCAUACAGAACACCGAUUGCGAAGGCAG